CAGGAUGAACGCUAGCUACAGGCUUACACAUGCAAGUCGAGGGGAAACGAUGAGAGAGCUUGCUCUCUCAGGCGUCGACCGGCGCACGGGUGAGUAACACGUAUCCAACCUGCUUUUCCAGGGAAUAACCUUGCGAAAGUAAGACUAAUGCCCUAUGUGUCCUCAGACGGCAUCAGACGAGGACGAAAGAUUUAUCGGAAGAGGAUGGGGAUGCGCCUGAUUAGGCAGUUGGCGGGGCAACGGCCCACCAAACCGACGAUCAGUAGGGGUUCUGAGAGGAAGGUCCCCCACAUUGGAACUGAGACACGGUCCAAACUCCUACGGGAGGCAGCAGUGAGGAAUAUUGGUCAAUGGACGAGAGUCUGAACCAGCCAAGUAGCGUGCAGGAUGACGGCCCUAUGGGUUGUAAACUGCUUUUGUACGGGGAUAAAGUCAACUACGUGUAGUUGUUUGCAGGUACCGCAAGAAUAAGGACCGGCUAAUUCCGUGCC
RNAcentral lists this ribosomal RNA (491 nucleotides) under uncultured bacterium. Its description in RNAcentral is "bacterial SSU rRNA". It matches the Rfam family "Bacterial small subunit ribosomal RNA", at positions 25 to 509 of the family's 1533-position model. The record is from RNAcentral.